CAGGUCAGCGCGACCUGCUGACGUGGAAAGAAAUUGCGCCGUCAAGGACGCGAUUUCCUUCCACGUCAGCAGGUCGCGCUGACGUGG
Gossypium hirsutum (cotton) is the source of this 87-nucleotide non-coding RNA. NCBI's taxonomy places the organism in Eukaryota, Viridiplantae, Streptophyta, Magnoliopsida, Malvales, Malvaceae. The record is from Rfam.